GCAUCAAGUAUGCAUAAUAUUGCAAAAGCGCAUCACUUUAAAAGGCUUAAAACAUACAGGUGUUCUUGGGAUAGGAAAAGACUUUGUUUGUUUGUGAAACAGGAGUUUUGACUACGAGACUAUUUUGCAGUAUACUUUGGUAACUUUAUGCCUCGUGUACAGAGAAAUUCGUCCAGAUCAAGGCCAGGAUUUUGGCGAAGUUUGUAAGGGAUUAAUUUGUUCAUUAUUAACGUAUUGAUCUUAUGGACUUAAUUGCGUAUUUGGUUAACAGCUAUAAACUUGGUUGAUUCAUAAGUAUAUAGAAGGAAUUUUGUUCUCACGAUUCGAGGAUCAACAAGGAUACACGAUAUAUACCACAUGAACGUUGAAGGUGUUUGUAGAUUGAAAAACGCAUGUAAAUUUUGUACAUUUUUAAACGGCAAGAGCAGCUGCAGAGAUGUAAUUACUAUGGGCCUUCCGCCUCCGCAUCACUCUAACCAACUGAGCUACAGAGAUGAGUUUCAUUCUUUGCUCCGGAAACAAGACAUUUAUCAUUUAUUAAAAAUCGACCUUCGGUGAUAAAUCGCCAUGAAGAAGCAUGUUUGGCAGCCAUUGAAUUAAUAGACCAGUGAAUUACUCGAAAUUUUACAAUGAAGUUUUGAUCAAGUCCUAGGACUAGAUGAAGUUUUGAUCAAGUCUUAGGACUGGAUGAAGUUUUGAUCAAGUCCUAGGACUGGAUGAAGUUUUGAUCAAGUCCUAGGACUGGAUGAAGUUUUGAUCAAGUGCUA
Non-coding RNA from Paramuricea clavata, 767 nucleotides. The record is from the annotation of a GenBank genome assembly. Lineage: Eukaryota; Metazoa; Cnidaria; Anthozoa; Malacalcyonacea; Plexauridae.